UGAACUCCUCUGUCACACCUACAGCACACCUCACCACGGUUUUACAGCUCUCAUACAUGUCGUGCUUUAGCAACAUUCAAAUGUAACAACCGGGAGAGUUAGCUAACUUGUUAGCGGUUAGCUAGUUCUAUGUGUAGAUAAUGUGAGCAGCGACGGAGAAAAAGAGAUGGGGAGCCCUCUCAACAAACAAACAAAAGUUAUCACAGCAGCAAGCGCAGUGGGACACGACUAUCACUUGGAUAUCGACCAAUUCACCUCCAGGAGAAGGGGCUUUGGCAUCAAGUAACACUUCGACUGCUUGCUACUAGAACGGUCUGACAGGGAGAAAAAGUAGGUGGAGAAAGAAGAAAGAAACUGAGCAACAGUUGCAUGUUUAGCUACUGUAGUUUUCCUCUAGGAUAUCAUUAGCUGUAAUUCUGCCUUCAAAUGGUAACCAGAUGACAGUGAGCAAACACACACACACACACACACACACACACACACACACACACACGAAAGGUUCAAACGAUUUUACACACAUUUUUUCCAAAACCCUUUAAGUUGUAGUAUUUUUCCAUCACUAUUUCAGAUUGCAUUAAAGCAUGUCAGAUUUUUGCUGUAAAUAAAAAAAAAAGGCUGUUUUGAAUUGUGCAGAUCUACAUCCUGAAAACAAAAGCAUAUUUUGGACAGCAGCAGCUCAUUAGAGAGAAGCUCUAGACCCACACAGUGUAUAAUGCAUCCUACAGAAACAGAGAGGGAGGAAGCGAGAGAUGUAGAUUUGUCCCUGUGGUUGAAAGGGAGAGCAGUGCACUGUGUGUGUGAAUAUGCUAUCUGCAGGUAGCAGCCAGUGCGGGGUAGAUCAAAGAGAGGCGUGUGCUGUUCUGGUCCCCAGCCAGAGGACCUCUCACCUUGUGGCAGGCAGCGUGAGCCCUGUGGACGUGACAAGGAUGGCGAGGGGGGGCUGGCUGUGUAAGUGGGAGAGGGACUGAGAGCAGACAGAGAGAGAUUUUGUUCGUGGUUUUGUUUAUAUUUGUAUCUUUGCAGAAGUGCAGAUUAUAAGAGUAAAGAGUAUAUAGGAGACCAGUAAAAGUGUAUUUUGAGUACUUUCUUAAACAAGGUGAGUAAAUUUGAGUUGCUAAUAUGGAUGAAGAAAGUGAUUCAGAAGGUGGGGAUGGCAGGCAAAUGCCUCUUCAUCCUAUGAUCUGUCUUUAGUCUUAAGUGAUAUUCAGACUGAAAAUGGAGCUGCGUUCAAAAAUUGCAUUGGGGUGAAUGUGUUACUACAGGUACAGAUGAGAAUAUAAAAUGUUAUCCAGGGGGGAGUAAUAGAUCCACGAGCAUCCAUCAGACAGUGAAACACUGCACAGCAGUUAAUAACACAGGAUUUUCUAAAGGUAGAAAGUUAUUGCAGCCACAAUCAUUUUAUCCUCCAUCUUGACAAUCACAAGGUGAACACUAGAAUUUCCCCCGUUAGCGCUACAAAGUAAUCUACCAUCAAUGUGUGUUUGCACGUAUUUGAUUGGCCAUCUCCAAGCAGGAUUCUGGAGGAGUCUGGAAGAUAGACCACAGUGGAGAUUAAUGAGUAGAUGAAAGUUGUAGGAGAUGUAGAUUUUUUUUCGAUGAAAAAGGUUUGAAGGACAGAACAGAAUCAAAAUGCAAAAGGAAAAUGACUGGAACCCUAUACACAGAGGAAGAAGUUUUGCAUGUGCUUAUCGAGGGAUUUUAGGACCAAUGAUGAUGACUUUUGACAUUUUCAUCCAUUUUUUUAUUUUUAUUUUUUAUAUCCUUGAGACAGUCGGGGAUGAUAAGCGGGUGGUGCUAUCCGAUUACUUAGCUCAUAGAGGCAGGGCUGAAAAGUGAAGCAUUCGUUUUAACCAAAGCCUAUCCUAAAAGAUGGUAAUUUUAGUUUCAAGAGAUCAUUUUGACAACAAAUGUGUUUAAAUAACCUGUCAACUAAUAACUAUCAUCUCUACAGAAAAAGAAUGAGGCAAGGUGUACAGCAAUAGUGCAGUUUGACUGGAUAUGCAUGUUUGUGUGGAACAUUCUAUUAUUCUAACGCAUGAGCAUAAAACUCACUCUCAGACCGACAGUAGGCCUCAGUGUGUCACAUAGUGUGUCAACAGCCCACAGCUCACCCGACAACCAAAAAAAAAACUUAUAAAUUUUACAACCCUGAUUGAAGUGUGUGUUUGUGUGUGCACUGUAUUAUGUGCUUGGGUGUGCACGUCUGCCUUGAAAGGAAGUUGACAUACCCUGAAGCUUUCCAGGGAAAAUCACAGGUCACUGGGAGAGGCUACCUGGGAUGCUGACAGAGAGGAUGUGUCCUCUUUACAACCACUCCACGUAGCCACGUAGCUCCCAAGCAACAACAACAUAUCUUCUUUUAUAGCAAGUAAUGCAUGAUUUAGCUUUUCAAGGUAGUAUCUAAAGUAUUUUUUUUCAUUUUUCCGAGUGUUUUGCCAGAAGGGUCAUUGACCUGGGUAUACCAUUGUUGAUCCAUUCAUAACAAUGACGUUGCUUUAGUGUGAAAGGGGUAUAAGUAACAAGGAAGGAAAGUAAGGAAAUGAGAAAAGCGAACAGGGAUGGAAAUGUGAAGAAUAGAAACGGAGAAUAACGAUUAUAGAACUUUCUCUGCAAUAGCAUAGAAAGUGAAGUGCAUGUCUUCCUGUCUCUUCUAGUAUAUAACAAUUCUGGUAUGCUGCUCAUUCAGUCAGCCCAUUGUUUCUCUCAGCUUAUUUAUGUUGCAAGGGUCCUCAGCCAAAAGCAAUAAAUUUGAAAACUGCCCCAGGGGUGGCAUUACAGGGCAGGUUGUUGAGAGAGAGAGAGAGAAAGAAAGAGAGAGAAGAAAGAGAGAGAAUGCAAGUAUGACAACAAGAGAGACUGUAAAUACAAGAUAGCAAGCACAUAAAAUAUAGAGAGGGAAGCAGAAAUGCAUAAGCUGAAAUAAUUUAGACAUUUUGCCCACUUACCAAGCCUGAAUGAAUAAUGUGGCCUCAGAUUUGUGUUUCUCUUUUCUGUGUCCAUAUGAAAAUUAGCUUUAGCUAUUUUGUUCUUUAUAAGUUGGUGAGUGAAGAGUUGUCUCUCAUUUAUUAUUAGACACAGCUACAUAUAACUAACAUUAACCAUAACUGUUUUAAAAGACAAUUUAAAACUGCGCCAAGUGAAAUUGUUAAAGCCAAUGUAUUUUUAAAACUGCCAGAAGGAAGAGAUUUUCAAUUAUUUGAGCAUGUAUAGAUCUUGUCAUGGAUUAUCUUGAUGGUCUAAAUUUGUGAAAGGAAUACCUAAUAAAUUGGCAACUCAGUGAUCUACAAAAUAUUUUUUUGCUGUAAUUUUGAAUGCAGGUCAAAACAGAUUCUUUAGCAAAUAUUGCCAUCAUGCAUUACUUGCAUUUUAGUGUGCUAAAGUUAUACUCUGAUUUCUUCUGAGCUCACUUAAAAAAAUCAAGUGACAUUUUAGGAUUCAUAAGCACUACAGGGGGCUGUAAUAACAUCUGUUUUUCUUUUGUGUGCAUUCCUACCCUUAGCAUCAAGUGACAGGAAGUGUUACACCAUUUGAUAUUGGCACUGACAUGCUGCUAUCCUGAUCCUGGAUGUGUCUCGCAUCUAGCUCACUCAUGUCAGAAAUCAAGUUAACAUUUAGGAUUUCUCAAAUUGGUUUUCUGUAAAAUCCCUGUAGUAGAGGAUAUUCUCCAUGUUUCAUGAUCCCUACUAUAGGCCUUUCAUGUAAUGUACUCUGCAGCUGAUGCCUGCCAACAGUAUCAAAAGGAGAGAUUUAAGGCUGCCACAGUCAGGUAUGGUGGGGGAUCUGUGAUAAGAGGCAAAGAUAUGAGGUCCUGACAUCCAUGUCUCAUUUAAUAAGUGAUCGGAGGCCAGGGCCACAGCAGAGCAUAGACAGACAGAUACAUCAAAAAACUCAGGGGUCUAGCUACAGGAGGAGAUGGAGCCAUUGUGGGAUCAAAGUGUCAGAGAAAAAGAGGGGGAAAAAUCUCUAGCACCCUAUAGAAAUGUAACCAUGCAACAACCACUGCUGCAGCAGCAGGUUUCAUGUGCUUACAGCUCUGUACAAUAAUAACAACAACAAAAAAGAAAGUUACAUUACACUGUCAGUCACCUCAUCUUCUAUGCAGGAUCAAGCCUGAUGCUUUGUGUGUGCGUGUGUGGUCUGUUUUGCAUCAUGUUUGUGAAGACUGACUAUUAAUGACCCCUAUUCUUGUGAGGACAUUUUGGCUGCUCCUUACAGUGAAACAAGCUAUAUUUUAUUGUCACAAAUUGACACUGUGGGCGGCAGUCAACCUAUCAUGAACUGAUACUAAGGAUAGAAAAUGAAUUUAAUUAUGGCAAAGGCUGGAGGUUACCUUGUUUCUUGGGACCAGUAAUACAGUAUGCCAAGUAUAUAAAUCAGUUCAAUAAUUAAAGAGGAAGAAAAAGAAAGAAGGGGCAUAAAAAUCAAGUUAUCCUCAUUUCUGGUCUUUUUAUUUCCCAUCAUCAACUGUUUUACAAUGCGCAUUUCAUUAUUAUGCAUUUGUAAUCUUUUUUGUCUGUACAUAUUUACAUAUUCUGGCAUUCAGAUGUGAUAAAUUUAACAGAUCAAGUCACUCAUGAACUAUUAUUGAAUGCCUCCAUGGAAUUAGUCACAAAUUUCCCAAGGUAUCUUGCUUUCACGCAUGUUCUCAAGUCUCCAGUGUUUCUCCCAUGAUUGAGGCCAGAGCAGAACAGAUUAAGCUAGUAUGUGUGCGGUUAAUAGAGUGCAGGAGCCAAGCAGCAGUAGGACCAGGGACAAUAGCAGGAAGAGACCACAGGGAGGGGGCUGCCGGUCACCAUGAC
Molecule: long non-coding RNA, 4799 nt
Organism: Siniperca chuatsi (mandarin fish)
Lineage: Eukaryota; Metazoa; Chordata; Actinopteri; Centrarchiformes; Sinipercidae
Exons: 2
Source: RefSeq, a predicted model, not a curated record